GUCUCUUGUGCCAACUACUAUGUGGAAUGCACAGGGGCCAUGAUUUCAUCUGAACUUUAGAAUUCAUCCUGGGGCGGGGCCUGCCUCCAUGCUUUCUCCACACAGUAGAUGAAUGGGGAAAUCGUGUCUGUGGGAAUUCAUCACAAGACAGGUGGAAAUCUCACCUGGGGGGCAAGAGGCCACGGAAAAGGAUAUACAAAUGAAGCAGAUGGAAAAGGACAAAGAAAAAAAAGACAAAACUUCAGACAUUCACUUUGACAUUAAAAAAGAAAAAAAUCAAAAGAAAGAAGAAAAGAAAGAAAACUGGACGCCACAGAUUAGAGCUGGUACCCAGUACCUACUUGUUACAAGGACAUAUGAAAAGGCCACAGCAUUUCCCUAAAUCUUUUAAAUUUUUCUCGGCCUCCUUCAUGUCUUGGUUGAUAUGGUUCAUGCCUUCUUCGACACGAUCGAGUUGUUCUGGUUAGGACAAAGGGAUGACAGUGUGGAAUGAAUUUUUUGGGGGUUUCCAACAGAACAUGAGAAAUGACUAUGUGGAGCAGAAUUUGAAAGAGAAAGAUUUUACAAUGCAUGGUCCCAGAGGAUGCAUUGCUGGAACCUGCUGCCGCCCUACCAGGCACAGGUGGAAGGAAAUGAACAAAAACAAUGCUUGAAAUAGUUUGUAAUUCAGACAUGAUGGGAUGGGGUACGUGAGCCUGUUGGAUUCUGAGUGUCCAGGAAAGCAACACAACCUAUUCACUUAUUCAGACACCAGCGAAACCCAAGAGAAAGAAAAACAUGGUGUUAGUGUUUUAGGAAUUCAAGAUGUCAUGUUACUAGAGAAGGUACCUGCUUCAACUUUAAAUAUCUCUGUCUUUUGGUUUUAAGUAUCCUCCACCAGGUAAGGGUAGUAAAUAGAGUCAAUCUUCUUUGGGGAAAAUAACAACAAUUAAGGUGAUAAUUAGCAAUGGGUACCAGAUCUUUUUUUUUUUUUUUUCCCCCUAGCGGUGGGCUGUUCCCUAGCCCAGGGACAGUUCUUGGUUUUGAAUCCUUAACUCAUAGACACUGCUU
Mustela erminea (ermine) is the source of this 1050-nucleotide long non-coding RNA. RefSeq lists it as uncharacterized. The transcript has 2 exons. The record is from RefSeq and is a predicted model, not a curated record. NCBI's taxonomy places the organism in Eukaryota, Metazoa, Chordata, Mammalia, Carnivora, Mustelidae.